GGGCAUGUGCACACCCGCCAUCCUCAUCUCUCCACCUGUGCACCUCUUGUAGACCUGGAUAGACUUUCCGAGGCAACUCGGUCGGGAAGAUUGCUGCGCUCUGUGAGCCAGCUUUCUUUGCAUGUCCAGGCCUAUGUUUUUCAUAUACCCCUAUAGAAUGUAACAGAAUGUAUCAUUGGGCCUUGUGCCUAUAAACCUUAUACAACUUUCAGCAACGGAUCUCUUGGCUCUCGCAUCGAUGAAGAACGCAGCGAAAUGCGAUAAGUAAUGUGAAUUGCAGAAUUCAGUGAAUCAUCGAAUCUUUGAACGCACCUUGCGCUCCUUGGUAUUCCGAGGAGCAUGCCUGUUUGAGUGUCAUUAAAUUCUCAACCUUAUUAGCUUUUGUUGAUAAUGGAUUGGAUGUGGGGGUUUCUUUUGCUGGCUUCUUCACAGAUAUCAGCUCCCCUUAAAUGCAUUAGCUGGUGCCCCGCGUGGACCAUCUAUUGGUGUGAUAAUUAUCUACGCCGUGGAUGUCUGCAAUCAUAUGGGUUUU
Molecule: ribosomal RNA, 532 nt
Filed under: uncultured Alnicola
Lineage: Eukaryota; Fungi; Basidiomycota; Agaricomycetes; Agaricales; Cortinariaceae
Description: eukaryotic LSU rRNA
Rfam family: 5.8S ribosomal RNA (bases 204-357)
Source: RNAcentral